RNAcentral lists this ribosomal RNA (1370 nucleotides) under uncultured bacterium. RNAcentral describes it as "bacterial SSU rRNA". It matches the Rfam family "Bacterial small subunit ribosomal RNA". The record is from RNAcentral.
AGAGUUUGAUCCUGGCUCAGGACGAAUUUUGGCGGCGCGCCUAACACAUGCAAGUCGAACGAGCGAGAGAGAGCUUGCUUUCUCGAGCGAGUGGCGAACGGGUGAGUAACGCGUGAGGAAUCUGCCUCAAAGAGGGGGACAACAGUUGGAAACGACUGCUAAUACCGCAUAAGCCCACGGUGCCGCAUGGCACAGAGGGAAAAGGAGCAAUCCGCUUUGAGAUGGCCUCGCGUCCGAUUAGCUAGUUGGUGAGGUAACGGCCCACCAAGGCAACGAUCGGUAGCCGGACUGAGAGGUUGAACGGCCACAUUGGGACUGAGACACGGCCCAGACUCCUACGGGAGGCAGCAGUGGGGAAUAUUGCACAAUGGGGGAAACCCUGAUGCAGCGACGCCGCGUGGAGGAAGAAGGUCUUCGGAUUGUAAACUCCUGUUGUUGGGGAAGAUAAUGACGGUACCCAACAAGGAAGUGACGGCUAACUACGUGCCAGCAGCCGCGGUAAAACGUAGGUCACAAGCGUUGUCCGGAAUUACUGGGUGUAAAGGGAGCGCAGGCGGGAAGACAAGUUGGAAGUGAAAUCUAUGGGCUCAACCCAUAAACUGCUUUCAAAACUGUUUUUCUUGAGUAGUGCAGAGGUAGGCGGAAUUCCCGGUGUAGCGGUGGAAUGCGUAGAUAUCGGGAGGAACACCGGUGGCGAAGGCGGCCUACUGGGCACCAACUGACGCUGAGGCUCGAAAGUGUGGGUAGCAAACAGGAUUAGAUACCCUGGUAGUCCACACCGUAAACGAUGAUUACUAGGUGUGGGAGGAUUGACCCCUUCAGUGCCGCAGUUAACACAAUAAGUAAUCCACUUGGGGAGUACGACCGCAAGGUUGAAACUCAAAGGAAUUGACGGGGGCCCGCACAAGCAGUGGAGUAUGUGGUUUAAUUCGACGCAACGCGAAGAACCUUACCAAGUCUUGACAUCCCUUGACAGACAUAGAAAUAUGUAAUCUCUUCGGAGCAAGGAGACAGGUGGUGCAUGGUUGUCGUCAGCUCGUGUCGUGAGAUGUUGGGUUAAGUCCCGCAACGAGCGCAACCCUUAUGGUCAGUUACUACGCAAGAGGACUCUGGCCAGACUGCCGUUGACAAAACGGAGGAAGGUGGGGAUGACGUCAAAUCAUCAUGCCCUUUAUGACUUGGGCUACACACGUACUACAAUGGCGUUAAACAAAGAGAAGCAAGACCGCGAGGUGGAGCAAAACUCAGAAACAACGUCCCAGUUCGGACUGCAGGCUGCAACUCGCCUGCACGAAGUCGGAAUUGCUAGUAAUCGUGGAUCAGCAUGCCACGGUGAAUACGUUCCCGGGCCUUGCACACAAAGCCCGUCA